GACGAACGCUGGCGGCGUGCUUAACACAUGCAAGUCGAGCGGAAAGGCCCUUCGGGGUACUCGAGCGGCGAACGGGUGAGUAACACGUGAGUAACCUGCCCCUGACUCUGGGAUAAGCCCGGGAAACUGGGUCUAAUACCGGAUACGACCGCCCCAGGCAUCUGGUGGUGGUGGAAAGUUUUUUCGGUUGGGGAUGGACUCGCGGCCUAUCAGCUUGUUGGUGGGGUAAUGGCCUACCAAGGCGACGACGGGUAGCCGGCCUGAGAGGGCGACCGGCCACACUGGGACUGAGACACGGCCCAGACUCCUACGGGAGGCAGCAGUGGGGAAUAUUGCGCAAUGGGCGAAAGCCUGACGCAGCGACGCCGCGUGGGGGAUGACGGCCUUCGGGUUGUAAACCUCUUUCAGCAGGGACGAAGUUGACGUGUACCUGCAGAAGAAGCGCCGGCUAACUACGUGCCAGCAGCCGCGGUAAUACGUAGGGCGCAAGCGUUGUCCGGAAUUAUUGGGCGUAAAGAGCUCGUAGGUGGCUGGUCGCGUCUGCCGUGAAAGCCCGCAGCUUAACUGCGGGUCUGCGGUGGAUACGGGCCGGCUAGAGGUAGGUAGGGGCAAGUGGAAUUCCUGGUGUAGCGGUGAAAUGCGCAGAUAUCAGGAGGAACACCGGUGGCGAAGGCGGCUUGCUGGGCCUUACCUGACGCUGAGGAGCGAAAGCGUGGGGAGCGAACAGGAUUAGAUACCCUGGUAGUCCACGCUGUAAACGUUGGGCGCUAGGUGUGGGGAUCUUCCACGAUCUCCGUGCCGGAGCUAACGCAUUAAGCGCCCCGCCUGGGGAGUACGGCCGCAAGGCUAAAACUCAAAGGAAUUGACGGGGGCCCGCACAAGCGGCGGAGCAUGUUGCUUAAUUCGACGCAACGCGAAGAACCUUACCAAGGUUUGACAUCACCCGGAAACGUGCAGAGAUGUGCGCCUCUUCGGACUGGGUGACAGGUGGUGCAUGGCUGUCGUCAGCUCGUGUCGUGAGAUGUUGGGUUAAGUCCCGCAACGAGCGCAACCCUUGUUCCAUGUUGCCAGCAACCUCUUCGGAGGGUUGGGGACUCAUGGGAGACUGCCGGGGUCAACUCGGAGGAAGGUGGGGAUGACGUCAAGUCAUCAUGCCCCUUAUGUCCAGGGCUACACACGUGCUACAAUGGGCGGUACAAAGGGCAGCGAUACCGCGAGGUGGAGCGAAUCCCAAAAAGCCGGUCUUGGUUCGGAUUGGAGGCUGAAACUCGCCUCCAUGAAGUCGGAGUUGCUAGUAAUCCCGGAUCAGCAACGCCGGGGUGAAUACGUUCCCGGGCCUUGUACACACCGCCCGUCACACCACGAAAGCGGGCAACACCCGAAGCCGGUGACCCAACCUUAGGGAGGGAGCCGUCGAAGGUGGGGCUCGUGAUUGGGGUGAAGUCGUAACAAGGUAGCCGUACCGGAAGG
Molecule: ribosomal RNA, 1470 nt
Filed under: uncultured bacterium
Lineage: Bacteria
Description: bacterial SSU rRNA
Rfam family: Bacterial small subunit ribosomal RNA
Source: RNAcentral